This 320-nucleotide unclassified non-coding RNA is filed under the name plant metagenome. RNAcentral describes it as "partial contains 5.8S ribosomal RNA, internal transcribed spacer 2, and large subunit ribosomal RNA". The stretch from base 1 to 105 matches the Rfam family "5.8S ribosomal RNA", at positions 50 to 154 of the family's 154-position model. The record is from RNAcentral.
GAAAUGCGAUAAGUAAUGUGAAUUGCAGAAUUCAGUGAAUCAUCGAAUCUUUGAACGCACAUUGCGCCCGCCAGUAUUCUGGCGGGCAUGCCUGUUCGAGCGUCAUUACAACCCUCAGGCCCCCGGGCCUGGCGUUGGGGAUCGGCGGAAGCCCCCUGCGGGCACAACGCCGUCCCCCAAAUACAGUGGCGGUCCCGCCGCAGCUUCCAUUGCGUAGUAGCUAACACCUCGCAACUGGAGAGCGGCGCGGCCACGCCGUAAAACACCCAACUUCUGAAUGUUGACCUCGAAUCAGGUAGGUAUACCCGCUGAACUUAAGC